Molecule: ribosomal RNA, 433 nt
Filed under: uncultured bacterium
Lineage: Bacteria
Description: partial 16S ribosomal RNA
Rfam family: Bacterial small subunit ribosomal RNA
Source: RNAcentral
AACGAACGCUGGCGGCAUGCCUAACACAUGCAAGUCGAACGAGACCUCCGGGUGUAGGGGCGCACGGGGGCGUAAGGCGAGGGAACCUGCCCCUAGGUUCGGAAUAACUCUCCGAAAGGGGUGCUAAUACCGGAUAAUGUCUUCUGACGAAAGAUUUAUCGCCUUUGGCUGGGCCCGCGUUGGAUUAGCUGGUUGGUAGGGUAAAAGACUCCCAAGGCGACGAUCCAUAGCUGGUCAGGGAGGAUGAUCAGCCACACCGGGACUGAGACCCGGCCCAGACUCCUCCGGGAGGCGGGAGUGGUGAAUAUUGCACCAUGGGCGGAAGCCUGAUCCAGCUCUGCCGCGUGAGUGAUGAAGGCCUUAGGGUUGUAAAGUUCUUUUACCCGGGAUGAUAAUGACAGUACCGGGAGAAUAAGCGCCGGCUAACUCCGUG